GACGAACGCUGGCGGCGUGCUUAACACAUGCAAGUCGAACGGAAAGGCCCUGCUUUUGUGGGUUGCUCGAGUGGCGCACGGGUGAGUAACACGUGAGUAACCUGCCCUUGACUUUGUGAUAACUUCAGGAAACUGGGGCUAAUACCGCAUAGGAGCUCCUGCUGCAUGGUGGGGGUUGGAAAGUUUCGGCGGUUGGGGAUGGACUCGCGGCUUAUCAGCUUGUUGGUGGGGUAGUGGCUUACCAAGGCUUUGACGGGUAGCCGGCCUGAGAGGGUGACCGGCUACAUUGGGACUGGGAUACGGCCCAGAGUCAUACGGGAGGCAGGAGUGGGGAAUAUUGCGCAAUGGGCGGAGGGAGGAUGCAGCAACGCCGCGUGCGGGAUGACGGCCUUCGGGUUGUAAACCGCUUUCGCGUGUGACGAAGCGUGAGUGACGGUAAUGGGUAGAGAAGCACCGGCUAACUACGU
This 467-nucleotide ribosomal RNA is filed under the name uncultured bacterium. Its description in RNAcentral is "partial 16S ribosomal RNA". It matches the Rfam family "Bacterial small subunit ribosomal RNA", at positions 28 to 506 of the family's 1533-position model. The record is from RNAcentral.